GGGAGGAAAAGAAACUAACAAGGAUUUUCUUAGUAGCGGCGAGCGAAAAGAAAAUAGUUCAGCACUAAGUCACUUUGUCUUUAUGGCAAAUGUGAGAUGCAGUGUAUGGAAUGUCAAAUUUCUAGUAUGAGAAAUUAACGAUUUAAGUCCUUCUUAAAUGAGGCCAUUUACCCAAAGAGGGUGCCAGGCCCGUAUAACGUUAAUGAUUACUAGAUGGCAUUUCCAAAGAGUCGUGUUGCUUGAUAGUGCAGCACUAAGUGGGUGGUAAACUCCAUCUAAAACUAAAUAUAACCAUGAGACCGAUAGUAAACAAGUACCGUGAGGGAAAGUUGAAAAGAACUCUGAAUAGAGAGUUAAAUAGUACGUGAAACUGCUUAGAGGUUAAGCCCGAUGAACCUGAAUAUCCGUUAUGGAAAAUUCAUCAUUAUGAUUUUAAUAUUUAUAAUAUUAUAAUAAUGGUGUGCAUUUUUUCUAUAAAGGACAUUGUAAUCUAUUAACUUUACAUUAUUUAUCAUAAGAUCAUUAGAUUAUGUUUAUUCAAAUUAUUUUGCUUGCAAUUUAAUAUCGAAUAAAUUCUUUUGAUUUGAUAAAGCGUUGAUAGAUUUAUUAUAUACAGUGCUUAAAUAUUUAUAUUUUAUAAUAUCAUAUUAAUCAAUGAUUUUUAUGUUCAUUAUAUGCACUUGUAUGAUUAACAAUGCGAAAGAUUCAGGAUACCUUCGGGACCCGUCUUGAAACACGGACCAAGGAGUCUAACAUAUUUGCAAGUUAUUGGGAAUAAAAACCUAAUAGCGAAAUUAACAUAACUUUAAUGGGAUUAGUUUUUAGCCUAUUUAUAGUCUAUUAAUUCAAUCCCGGGGCGUUCUAUACAGUUAUGUAUAAUAAUAUUUAUAUUAUUUAUACCUCUAACUAGAGCGUACCUUGAGCAUAUAUGCUGUGACCCGAAAGAUGGUGAACUAUACUUGAUCAGGUUGAAGUCAGGGGAAACCCUGAUGGAAGACCGAAACAG
Molecule: ribosomal RNA, 1006 nt
Filed under: Lucilia sericata (common green bottle fly)
Lineage: Eukaryota; Metazoa; Arthropoda; Insecta; Diptera; Calliphoridae
Description: eukaryotic LSU rRNA
Rfam family: Eukaryotic large subunit ribosomal RNA
Source: RNAcentral